This 497-nucleotide ribosomal RNA is filed under the name uncultured bacterium. Its description in RNAcentral is "partial 16S ribosomal RNA". It matches the Rfam family "Bacterial small subunit ribosomal RNA", at positions 28 to 507 of the family's 1533-position model. The record is from RNAcentral.
GAUGAACGCUGGCGGCGUGCCUAAUACAUGCAAGUCGAGCGAACGGACGAGAAGCUUGCUUCUCUGAUGUUAGCGGCGGACGGGUGAGUAACACGUGGAUAACCUACCUAUAAGACUGGGAUAACUUCGGGAAACCGGAGCUAAUACCGGAUGAUAUUUUGAACCGCAUGGUUCAAAAGUGAAAGACGGUCUUGCUGUCACUUAUAGAUGGAUCCGCGCUGCAUUAGCUAGUUGGUAAGGUAACGGCUUACCGAGGCAACGAUGCAUAGCCGACCUGAGAGGGUGAUCGGCCACACUGGAACUGAGACACGGUCCAGACUCCUACGGGAGGCAGCAGUAGGGAAUCUUCCGCAAUGGGCGAAAGCCUGACGGAGCAACGCCGCGUGAGUGAUGAAGGUCUUCGGAUCGUAAAACUCUGUUAUUAGGGAAGAACAUAUGUGUAAGUAACUGUGCACAUCUUGACGGUACCUAAUCAGAAAGCCACGGCUAACUACGUG